GUGAGGAAUUUUCCGCAAUGGGCGAAAGCCUGACGGAGCAAUGCCGCGUGAAGGAUGCAGGCCUAUGGGUUGUAAACUUCUUUUCUCAGAAAAGAAUUAUGACGGUAUCUGAGGAAUAAGCAUCGGCUAACUCUGUGCCAGCAGCCGCGGUAAGACAAAGGAUGCAAGCGUUAUCCGGAAUGAUUGGGUGUAAAGCGACUGUAGGUUGUUUAAAAAGUCUUCUGUCAAAGAUUAGGACUUAACCCUAGAUAGGCAGAAUAAACUUUUAAGCUAGAAUUUGGUAGAGGCAUAGGGAAUGCCCGGUAGAGCGGGGAAAUGCGUAGAUAUCGGGAGGAACAGCAAAGGCGAAGGCACUCAUCUGGGUCAAUACUAACACUGAGAGACGAAAGCGAGGGGAGCAAAUGAGAUUAGAUACCCGUGUAGUCC
RNAcentral lists this ribosomal RNA (426 nucleotides) under uncultured bacterium. RNAcentral describes it as "bacterial SSU rRNA". It matches the Rfam family "Bacterial small subunit ribosomal RNA", at positions 354 to 796 of the family's 1533-position model. The record is from RNAcentral.